RNAcentral lists this ribosomal RNA (500 nucleotides) under uncultured bacterium. Its description in RNAcentral is "partial 16S ribosomal RNA". It matches the Rfam family "Bacterial small subunit ribosomal RNA", at positions 28 to 507 of the family's 1533-position model. The record is from RNAcentral.
GACGAACGCUGGCGGCGUGCUUAAUACAUGCAAGUCGAGCGGACUUUCCGUAGUGCUUGCACUUCGGCAGGUUACCGGCGGACGGGUGAGUAACACGUAGGCAACCUGCCCCUAAGACCGGGCUAACAUUCGGAAACGCAUGUUAAUAACGGGUAGACGGACCUCUCGCAUGGGGGGGUCGGGAUUGGCGGAGUAAUCUGCCGCUCACGGCUGGGCCUGCGGCGCAUUAGCUGGUGGGUGGGGUAACGGUCUACCAAGGCGACGAGGCGUAGCCGACCGGAGAGAGUGGUCGGCGACACUGGGAGUGAGCCACGGCCCAGACUCCUGCGGGAGGCAGCAGUAGGGAAUCUUACGCAAUAGACGCGAGUCUGACAGAACGGCGCCACGUGAGUGGGAGAGACCUUCGGGUCGUGAUGCUCUGUUGCCGGGGAAGAACGGGUAGGGGAGGAACUGCCCUGGCCAUGACGGUACCGGGGAAAGAAGCACCGGCUAACUACGUG